This 711-nucleotide ribosomal RNA is filed under the name Bacillus paralicheniformis. Its description in RNAcentral is "bacterial SSU rRNA". It matches the Rfam family "Bacterial small subunit ribosomal RNA", at positions 91 to 786 of the family's 1533-position model. The record is from RNAcentral. Lineage: Bacteria; Bacillati; Bacillota; Bacilli; Caryophanales; Bacillaceae.
GUUAGCGGCGGACGGGUGAGUAACACGUGGGUAACCUGCCUGUAAGACUGGGAUAACUCCGGGAAACCGGGGCUAAUACCGGAUGCUUGAUUGAACCGCAUGGUUCAAUUAUAAAAGGUGGCUUUUAGCUACCACUUACAGAUGGACCCGCGGCGCAUUAGCUAGUUGGUGAGGUAACGGCUCACCAAGGCAACGAUGCGUAGCCGACCUGAGAGGGUGAUCGGCCACACUGGGACUGAGACACGGCCCAGACUCCUACGGGAGGCAGCAGUAGGGAAUCUUCCGCAAUGGACGAAAGUCUGACGGAGCAACGCCGCGUGAGUGAUGAAGGUUUUCGGAUCGUAAAACUCUGUUGUUAGGGAAGAACAAGUACCGUUCGAAUAGGGCGGUACCUUGACGGUACCUAACCAGAAAGCCACGGCUAACUACGUGCCAGCAGCCGCGGUAAUACGUAGGUGGCAAGCGUUGUCCGGAAUUAUUGGGCGUAAAGCGCGCGCAGGCGGUUUCUUAAGUCUGAUGUGAAAGCCCCCGGCUCAACCGGGGAGGGUCAUUGGAAACUGGGGAACUUGAGUGCAGAAGAGGAGAGUGGAAUUCCACGUGUAGCGGUGAAAUGCGUAGAGAUGUGGAGGAACACCAGUGGCGAAGGCGACUCUCUGGUCUGUAACUGACGCUGAGGCGCGAAAGCGUGGGGAGCGAACAGGAUUAGAUACC